RNAcentral lists this long non-coding RNA (290 nucleotides) under Gallus gallus (chicken). RNAcentral describes it as "lncRNA (ENSGALG00010026493.1)". The record is from RNAcentral. Lineage: Eukaryota; Metazoa; Chordata; Aves; Galliformes; Phasianidae.
GGGAAGGUUCAGGUUAGAUAUUAGGAGAAACUUCUCAGAAAGAGUGGUGAGGCAUUGGAAUGGACUGCUCAGAGAGGUGGUGGAGUCACUGCUCAAGAAAUGUGGAGACGUGGCGCUGAGGGCCACGGGGCCUGCCUGGCGUUUUGGCUGUGCCUUCCGUGACAGCAGCACACCGUGCAGAGGAGACUUGAGAUGGGACAAGAAGCACGUGGACAGCCAGCUGGAACCUCUGUGAGCAGCAGGUACCUUCAUUUCCCAUCACUAUGUUCUCUCCUAGAGUUACCUUCUCC